Molecule: long non-coding RNA, 881 nt
Filed under: Monodelphis domestica (gray short-tailed opossum)
Lineage: Eukaryota; Metazoa; Chordata; Mammalia; Didelphimorphia; Didelphidae
Description: lncRNA (ENSMODG00000031759.2)
Source: RNAcentral
AUUUUUUCAUAUAGGUAUAGAAGGAAAUAUGUGUACAUGGAGAUAUUUUCUUGGUUAUUUUUUCUCCUUAGUAAUAAUAUCUGGUGAUUUUUGCACCUCUUUGCUCUUCCAGUCCAUCAUUAUUUUAGAAUCAUAAAACCAUGGAAUUCCUGAGUAAAAGGAGACCUCCAAAGUGGCUUACUCUAAUCACCACCAGAAAUAUUUAUCUCCUCCCUAUCACCAAACCAUAAUAAUCAUGUAGAUUCUAUUUGGACAUCUUGUAUGGCAUGGAAUUUGUUACACAUUGUAAUAGCGAGGGGGGCUUAGAAAGGGAAGGAACAACUGAACAACUCUUUGGGGACUGAAUUCUAUGUGACACUUCCUCUUUCUUUCACUGAGUUGAGCAGUUACUAAUGGAGUCAGUCAGUCCAGAUUUAAGGGCAUGCUUGAAUUUUUAUUAUCUCGCCCAACAAUGAACAUGAUAGGGGAUCAAGAAACUUCAAGGAUGACUCUAAUCUUCAUUUGGCUUCUACAGCAUCAUGUAAUCUUGAUUAAAUUAUUUGAUUUCCUUUGCUAGGCCUCCAGAUCCUUAUCCAUAAAAUGAGAUUAUUGGACUGAAUCAUGUAUGAAUUAUCUUCUAACUUUUUGUGGGCAUAUAGUAGGGCAUAAACAACUGUUAGCAUGAAGAAAAACCUCAAGUUAGGAAGAGACAUUUGAACUGAGACUUAACGGAAACUUGAACUUAGAGCUCAUUCUCACUAUCUAUUAACAUGCCUAUCUUCUCCCAAAAAAAGGGGUGGGGGCAUGGGGAGAGUAUAGGAUAAGAGAACUCUCCUUGAACAUGCCAUCCCCUUAGGCUAUUUCCUAUAUCCUCUCUCUUUCACAACCAAACUAGUUCCUCA